AGGGAUGAUGGAUGGGAUGGAUGGACAGAUGGAUGGAAAUCUUGGUUCUGCAAUUCUGUGUAAAGAAAGUUCAUAUACCUGAUGCCACCAUAAUGUGAAAUCUCAUCAGGAGUUUGGUUAAGUGUUGUGGGGUGUAGUGUGAGCCAUACCUGGAAAAACACUCCAGAAGGGAUAAAGACUUAGCAGAGUCUAGAAGUUCCAUGUUUCCAUAUCCCCCAUCCAAUGCUUUUUUAUUUUCCUUUUUUCCCCCAAAGCUCCAAUAUACACAUAGAGAUAUUUUCUUGCUUCCAUCCCCAUUUUCAGGCCUCAACCAAGAACGAAAAGUGCUCAAAAUACUUCUGAGGGCUGUCUGCAUAGCCAACUGUCCAGUUUCACAGGCUUUAAUGGCUUUGAGUGGAACUCACACAUGCCUCUCUGUCUGCCCUGCUCCAACCCAGACACAGCUAAUGACAGUGACAAAAGCCACGCUAAGGGGCCAAAACAAACCCUUUGAUAUACAGGAGGCUGAAAGGGAUAAUCAUUUUUACUGUUUAAAUUACCUUUCUUUUUAAACAUUUUCAAGAUAUUUUGUUCUUAGUAUAACUACUUUUUAAUGAUAGAAAAAAAAAGACAUCAGAAGUGUGACACAGACAGCUUUGGGGCUGAUUUGAAUAGCUUUUCACUGACGUAUGUCUUCACAUGAAAAUCCCAGAUGGUCACUUGCUCAGUUCACCAAAUUUGCAAUAUUCAGCAAGAUAUGUAAAAAAAGCCUUCUCCCUAAAACUUCAUCAUUUUUAGCUCUCUCUAGACUGAUUUUUUUCAGCUGUUCAGACACUUUGUCCCCACAGCCAAAUGCAGAGCCCCUCUGUGAGAAUUGGUUUAUUACCUCACUUCCUUGUCUGACUUAUAAUUCUCAAAAAAUACACAGAAAAAAACCCCAAAAGAGCCAAUUAACAGGAGAACCUGAGAAACAAAGGGGGAUGAUUCUCCUGUCCCAAACCUGUCCUACAUUCCCUGUGUCCUGCAGUGGGGUCUGCCCAUGUGGGCAGACAAGUGGGAGCUGCCUCUGAAAGCCUCAGUCUCUGUGUUUAUUUAGGCAAAGCUUCAGCUGGCUGAUGGGGAUCAGCGUAAAAUGAAUGAUUCCACACAGCAGCACAGACAUGUCCCCCUGCUUCCUGGGUUUCUUUCUUUUCUGCAAGCAGAAAGAAAUCCCCAAACUCUGCCUGGCUGCUGCUGCUUUCAGAGGACGGGUUGUUGCUCUGCUGAGCUCAACUCUGGUAUUCUCAAACUCCAGAGAAAAACUAUAAUUAAAUUAACCUGGAAAGGCCUUCUGAUUCCAACAUGUGGGUAAGUUUUCUGAAAAGAGAGUGUUAUAAAAGGACUUACUUUCUGUGUUCCUGCUGCAAGAUUUAAACCCUCUCUCCUGGUGGGAUUCUGCUGUGUCCCAAAAUUUAGACUAAUGUUCAUGACAUAUUCACUAGCUCUGUGCUGCAUUAUCAUUGCCUUGCUAGGCUGUGCAGGAGUGCAAAUACAGGAAUUCAAAACCUUCCUCCUCAUUUUCUUUAUUCCCACUUUCAGCCACUCUGAUUCUUUUCCAGCUUCGCUCUCUGCUCCUUUCUGGUUUGUAUUUGGUUGCAAAGAUGGGAGAGCAGUGGGUGGGUGCCUGUCACAGAGUCAGAAAGCACCGGGGGUAGGGACAGGUCCCUUUGGAGCCCCAGUGCAGUGGGGUUGUUCCCCUGGCAGGUUGUCCCUGUGGGCUGCAGCACAGCAGCCUCCAAAAUCCACAUCCUGGGAGCCAGGAGGGUGGCCAGGAUGUCUGCAGAGGCAUCUCUGUGCCCUCAUCAUUGUCAAACCUGCAUUUCAUGGGAAUAAAUUGUCCAGGCCAAACCCUACAGUUAAUGGUUAAAUCGGGGAGGGAGAAACCUGCCAGCACCAAGACAGAGAUGUAGGGAAACCAGUGGGCCACAGGAACAAAUUCAGGCAAGCUUACAAUGGGGAAAUAACCAGAAAGGCAGAAUUUUCCUAAGCUUUUAAGAGAAUUUAUCCAGCAUAUUUAGAACCAUAGAAAAGUUUGGGUUGGAAGGGACAGUUAAAGAUCAUCCAAUUCUACCCCUGUGUUUAGGACUGCCCUCGGCAAGGCAGGACAGUGGCAGUGCAAUGGCUUCUUAGGGGCUGUGCUUGCAACUUUUCCCAUUGAAAUACUCUGCUUUUAAGUGCUUUUAAUUAUCUGGACUCUGGUGUGUCGUGCUGAACAGCUGCUGCAAGCUGGAUUCUGCAUGAACAGUUUCAGAUAAAGUGAAGCAUAGUUCUGUUCCCCCCCACCUCCACCUUGGAGAUCAUGCUCAUCUCCUACCCAUUAAAAGGAAAAAAAUCUCUGGUAAAAAUAGUGUGAGAUGAUGUCAUUGAAAAUUAUCAUAAUGCAUCUGGAAAGAAAAACCAUUGGGGAUACCUGGGUGAUCUUAAAUCUGACUUUUUAUUAUUUUUUUUUUAAAUCCCUGAUUUAUUAAUUUUAACCUGCUUCUAGCAGGAAAGAGGACGUGAUUUGUAUUUGCAGAGGUCUGGCUCUAACCUGAAUAGUGUGGGAGAGGAGGGUGUGGCUUUGUGUGAUCAUUCCUUUUCCCCUUCCCUGUGCAAGUUCCUCACAGGUCAGAGCAGUGUCAGGGGUUCGGCGUGCCCUCCUCAAGAUGGAAAGUAGAAGCAAAAAGAUCACCAGAAGCUUCAGGCUCUGUGCCAUCCCCUUAAUCCUCCCCAGACUGAAUGGAAGGACCGGCAGAAAUGAGGACAGGAUGUCCAGGCAAUUUAUAUCCAUCUUUUCCCUGAUAACAUCUCUGCUUCCUCAGGAAGGCCCAUUUCUGUGCUAAGAAAUAGCCUAAGCUGGUGGCUGUGCAGCAUCUUUUCCUCCUGACGAGCUGAGGCCAUUCCAAAUGAGGAUAAUAAACGAUAUAAGGAACAAUAUAAGCGCUGCUAUAAAUAAGAAUGCUGCAAUUCCACUGAUGACUUAUGGUGGCAUUAUAAAUGAUCGGAGCAAAGUCAGGAGGUCUCCUCACACCACCAGAGCCUCAUGGUAGAAUUAUAGAUCUAAUUUAAGUGCAUUUUGGGGGUAAAUUAUUUAUUAAAGUGUAAAGCUUAUGGAGACAAAUGUUCAAGUAGUCAGACUCCUGGACUAGGUGAGCAUUCCUGGUCCUAAUAAUUACAGGUAGAAUUUGCUCCUGGGCAAAAGGACUAGAUUAAGAUUUUAGCAACAUUUUAGGUGUCCAAAAGCCCUGCAGAACACUUCUUGGCACAGGCUGCAGUCUCUAAACUUACAAUGAAAUGGGCUCCUUGUACAGAUGAUCAAUCCAGAGCACCUACUGCUCAUAAAUCCAUUUUAAUCAUUAAACUGGAGCUAGGAGAUGAGAGCAAGAAGAAACUUCUCUCAGGCUCAUGAAAAAUCACAGGUUGUUGUCUUACAACUUUUGUUCUAAGUUUUCCUGAAUUUCAGCCCUGAAAAGGAUUCCCAUUGCUGGUGUUUUCUUUUAUAUUUCACUCUAAUUUCAGUAAAGAUUUGUUACUGGUGAUAAACCAGGGAAGUGCUUGUAGCAAAUUCACCGUGGUGAAAUUUCCUCACAUAAGGGGCUGUGAAAUACUGGAAGGGGCUGUUCCAGGGUGGUAGUGGAGUCCCCAUCCCUGGGGGUGGCACUCAGUACUCUGGGCUGGGUGACAAGGUGGGGAUCAGUCACAGGCUGGACUAGAUGGUCUUGGAGGUCUUUCCCAACCUUAAUGACUCCUGAUGGAAUUCCCUCUGCCACACACUCCUUGAGGGAAAUCAGGCAACUCAAUAGAGCCUCUCAAAAAAAGAAAAAAAAGAAAAAGAAAAAAAUAGCCACCUUGAAAUGUCUAAUUUUGUAUUUAAAUACAGAUUGCAAGGACGUCUCCACACCAGGCUGGCUGAUCUCCCUGUGCCCAGAGCCUGCAGGUCCCACAAGGCCGAGGCAUUCCCAAGUCUAACAUGAAGUCUGCUUUUGGCAGGGGAAGUAGAGGAAGACUCAGCCUAUAAAUCCCCCCAAAGACUGAAUUUUCUGGAGGCUUCUGCACCACAAAAUCAGCCUGUGGAGCAGGAGGCUCAACACUCUCGCACCACUGGGCUGCAUCAAGGAUAAACACACUAAGGCAAGGCAUUAAGAUCCUGUGGUAAUUAGGAGCCAUAUAAGUAACUUAGAUAUAGAAUGAAGCUACUAAUAAUGCAUGAAUGCAAAGCCUUAAGAAGUUUGCCUCAUAUAAAGCACCCAGCUAUUCGCUGGCUUAGCUCAAUUCUCUGAAGCUGCAAAUUCAGGCUGAAGAUCUUAGGAGAGUGUGCUCGUUCUGGGAGGUUUUGGGUUUUUUUUUUUUCCUUGUCAUACUUAAAAUAUUGCUGAGCCCAACUUUUUGUUAUAGGCAAGGUUUCUCCCAUAACUCCCAGCCAGACUAGAAAAAGUAGAAAGGCAGGGCAAAAAAAAAAAAAAAAAAAAAUUAAAGAAAAAAAAAGCACAUAAAAUUAGGCAGAGGGCUUGGGGGAAGAUUCAGAUUAAGGGAGUGUAUCUAAUGGUCAAGCCAGGGAGAUGGAAUCAGUAUUCCUGCCACUAAUUCACUGUGUAACCUUGUGCUGUCACUAAGCUUUUUUGUGCUCUAUUUUCCUCGUCAGUAAAAUGAGUAUUAUAAUAGUUACCUUCCUGAUAAGGGUUUCAGUUAAUCAAUUUCUAAAGCCCUUAAGUACAGAGAGACACAAGAUAUCAUAUCAACAAAGUCCAGCAUUUAUCUGUGCCUGGAUAUUCCCUGAACUGCACCAGCUGCAAAGGAAUAGAACCUGAGCUGUAUAAACCUGAAAAAUUCACAUUGACUUUGAUGAACAAAUGCUAUUUCUUGCAAAUGCUACCUGUGUUUUUUUGGUCACAGGCAGGAUUUGCUGCUUUAAAAAUGUGUUUUAAAAGCCAAUUAAAAAUGUUUCAGGUGGGUGGGAAGAAUUAAACUCCCCCAUGGCUGAAUUGCUUGCACAGUUUACCUGUGCUGCUCCUUACAGUAACCUGAGUCAGUCUUUGUGCUGCUGCUGGUAGCAGGAGACAGGGGGAAAAGUGCUACAGUAGGUUUUGCUCAGAAUUCUGAAUUUUUGCCAAGGAAAGAGGAGGAGGAAAUAAUGAACAUUUGACGGGUAUUUUUCAAACAAAGGAAUACUAAAUUAUGGUCUGGGAAGGAAGAUCUUUUCUUCUAAGAGCUGACUAAGGAGCUUAGCAAAACUGAAGGGUGAAAGAGAGGAGGGAUUGUUAUAUAUAAGUAGAUCAGGGUGUAGCAGCAGGGAAGGAAAAGAACCAUUAAAUCAAAAGCACAAUGCUGAAAGAACAAAUGGGUAUAAUAAACAGGCCUUUAAUAAAUUCAGGUAUUAAUUAGAAGAAUGCAUUUAAACAUCAGAAGAGCUGGAUUAUAGCCAGCAGGCAUGGGCAGGUAAGGAGCCCACUCAGCCAUAAGCUGGGCAGGGGAGUGGACCUGAAUCCAACUCCAUCCCUGUCUGAUUCUCAAGCAAAUAAAUUGAUUUAAGUACUUCACAGUUUUUCCUUCAGUUUGCUGCAUUUCCAGGAAAUGUAGAAGAUAUUCUCCUUUCUUCAAAGUACCUUCCUGCACAUAUCACAGCAGAUUUUAAAUAGAGUAGGUAGCUACAUCACCCCUGUGUCAUACAUACCUUCCUCCUGUCCCACUCUUUGCUCCACAAUCAGGGUUUGCUGCCUUCUCUCACUUCUGUUACUGUCCAAUCUUUAUUUCCUCCUCUUCCUUCACCUUGCAGCCCAAACCCUUUCAGCCCUGUCCUUCAUUAAGUAAAGACAAACAGCUGCAGUUGAUGCUUUCAAGCUUCAGCUCAUGUGCAGCAGCUUGAACUGAAAACGUGUUUGUCUCCCUCCUUGCCCUGCUCACUUUGGGCUGCCUUGGCUUUCAGUGCACCAGCUCUCAACCUGCCUGAGUCCCAACAGCUCGACACUUGAAUAAUUGAAGUGAUUUACAUUCCCCAAAGUGCAUCCAAACAGGUUUAUUAUGAGUCUUUGUGACUUGUUCUUUUAAAGCACUUCUCUGACGUCUGUUCUUCAUUGGAGUUCACCACCCAAGUCAGGUCACAGUGGUAAUGGCAAGGUCAGCUCUGAACAUGGACACCAGAACAGCCCCCAUCAUGGCUGGAUAAUUUAUUGUAUGGACCUGUCAGAUAAAUCCAACACAGUCUGGAAGAACCUAGAAGUAUCCUCUCGUGCCACUUCCUCAAACUUUGCUGCUUUGACACAUUUUGGCAACAGUUGAUGGAUUGGGAACCUCUGAGCAAUAUCUCUUGACUGAAUGAGCCAUCUUUGCACCUCCAUGGGGAAAAGAGACAUCACUGGGCGAAGCACAAUGGAUGGAUACUUUCUUUUUUUGCCAGCAGCAGAAUUGAGAUGUUUUCCAGAACUUUCAGAUAUUGCAUAGUUACAGAAUAUGGAUGAUACUCAGAGAAGAAAUGGACAAUUAAAAAAAAAUAAAAUUACUAUAUCCUCUGCUAAAACAUAUCUGUAGAUGUCCAGGAGAAUCUUGUUAAGCAAGACAGAGCUCUUUGCCUUCAGUGUGCAUCCCUUUAGUUUCAGAGCUGUCCCAUUCCAAGCUGUGAGUGAGGAAGGGCAUCACUGGCUCCUGCUGAAGUUCAUGAAAUGAAAGCCCCUCUCCCAAGCACGGUUUAAAUGUUCUGCCUGAGUUGUGCAACCAGAAUUUUCACAGUGGUAACUUGGCCUGAGCCCAGAUUUGAAUGUGGAUUAUUCAGCUCUGCUGCUCCUAUCUGCAGGUCCAUGCUCCAGCAGGCACAAGAGCUAUUUACAAUAAGGACACAGAUGCCUAAAAUUC
Molecule: long non-coding RNA, 6843 nt
Organism: Motacilla alba alba
Lineage: Eukaryota; Metazoa; Chordata; Aves; Passeriformes; Motacillidae
Exons: 3
Source: RefSeq, a predicted model, not a curated record